RNAcentral lists this ribosomal RNA (253 nucleotides) under uncultured bacterium. RNAcentral describes it as "partial 16S ribosomal RNA". It matches the Rfam family "Bacterial small subunit ribosomal RNA", at positions 524 to 776 of the family's 1533-position model. The record is from RNAcentral.
UACGUAGGGGGCAAGCGUUGUCCGGAUUUAUUGGGCGUAAAGAGCGUGUAGGCGGCUUUGCAAGUCCGUUGUGAAAACUCGAGGCUCAACCUCGAGACGCCGGUGGAAACUGCAAAGCUAGAGUCCGGAAGAGGAGAGUGGAAUUCCUGGUGUAGCGGUGAAAUGCGCAGAUAUCGGGAGGAACACCAGUGGCGAAGGCGACUUCCUGGCCUGUUCUUGACGCUGAGGCGCGAAAGCUAGGGGAGCAAACGGG